This 253-nucleotide ribosomal RNA is filed under the name uncultured bacterium. Its description in RNAcentral is "partial 16S ribosomal RNA". It matches the Rfam family "Bacterial small subunit ribosomal RNA", at positions 524 to 776 of the family's 1533-position model. The record is from RNAcentral.
UACGGGGGGGGCAAGCGUUGUUCGGAAUUACUGGGCGUAAAGGGCUCGUAGGCGGCCAACUAAGUCAGACGUGAAAUCCCCAGGCUCAACCUGGGAACUGCGUCUGAUACUGGAUGGCUUGAAUUCGGGAGAGGGAUGCAGAAUUCCAGGUGUAGCGGUGAAAUUCGUAGAUAUCGAGAGGAACACCGGUGGCGAAGGCGGCCUUCUGGACAGUUACUGACGCUGAGACGCGAAAGCGUGGGGAGCAAACAGG